GACAGCAGUCGCCGCGGUAAUACGAAGGGUGCAAGCGUUACUCGGAAUUACUGGGCGUAAAGCGUGCGUAGGUGGUGGUUUAAGUCCGUUGUGAAAGCCCUGGGCUCAACCUGGGAAUUGCAGUGGAUACUGGGUCACUAGAGUGUGGUAGAGGAUAGUGGAAUUUCCGGUGUAGCAGUGAAAUGCGUAGAGAUCGGAAGGAACAUCUGUGGCGAAGGCGACUAUCUGGGCCAACACUGACACUGAGGCACGAAAGCGUGGGGAGCAAACAGGAUUAGAUACCCCUGUAGUCCCUGUCUCUUAUAC
Molecule: ribosomal RNA, 306 nt
Filed under: uncultured bacterium
Lineage: Bacteria
Description: partial 16S ribosomal RNA
Rfam family: Bacterial small subunit ribosomal RNA
Source: RNAcentral